Molecule: ribosomal RNA, 252 nt
Filed under: uncultured Bacteroidales bacterium
Lineage: Bacteria; Pseudomonadati; Bacteroidota; Bacteroidia; Bacteroidales
Description: partial 16S ribosomal RNA
Rfam family: Bacterial small subunit ribosomal RNA
Source: RNAcentral
UACGUAGGGGGCAAGCGUUAUCCGGAUUUAUUGGGUUUAAAGGGUGCGCAGGCGGAAGAUCAAGUCAGCGGUAAAAUUGCGGGGCUCAACCCCGUCGAGCCGUUGAAACUGUCAGACUUGAGUUGGCGAGAAGUACGCGGAAUGCGCGGUGUAGCGGUGAAAUGCAUAGAUAUCGCGCAGAACUCCGAUUGCGAAGGCAGCGUACCGGCGCCACACUGACGCUGAGGCACGAAAGCGUGGGGAUCGAACAGG